This 782-nucleotide long non-coding RNA is filed under the name Aotus nancymaae (Ma's night monkey). RNAcentral describes it as "lncRNA (ENSANAG00000038978.1)". Lineage: Eukaryota; Metazoa; Chordata; Mammalia; Primates; Aotidae. The record is from RNAcentral.
GGCCCGCCGGCUCUGUGUCUCCUCUGCAUUCCCCUUGGCCUGGCCAAAGUCACUAAAUGGCCUCUUUGGGACUUCGCAGCGCCGUCCAGCCCCUCCUCCGUCCUUUGUCCGGCGGCUCUGCAGGCGGGCUUCGCCCGGCCAAGUCAGGCGGCGCGGGGCGCUCUGAGGGCCCCGGGUGCUACUUGUUGCAUUUCUGUAGAAAACUGUUUCUCUUGGUGCGUGUCGGGGGGCGAGGGGAGGGAGCAAGAACCGGCGCUUUUUGUUUGCAGCAGAGUCCGGAGAGCUGGAUUCCCUGGCGCGGAUUCUGCCCGCCGAGUGGAUUCCCCUGCUGCAGGCGGGAGCCCUUACAAGAGCUUCUCUGGGCGCGGCUUGGCAGCGGAGCCCCGGUGGCUCGGGCCCCCGCAGCCGGCACCUCCUCGCUCGCGGUCCCGGACGGGGAGCGCGACCCCGGUGCAACAGCUCGGGGAGCACGCGGGCUGCGUCCGGAAGGGACCCGAGUCUGCGAGCAGAGAGCAAACCGGGCGGAAAUUCGUUCUUCCCACACUCUGCCCGCGGGGACGCAGGCGGAGAAAGAGGAGACGGCGGAGGGAGGACAGACCCCGGCAGGGGGAGGAGGAAACGCUAAAUGGCUCCACGUCUGGUCAGCCCGAGCCCGGGAUGCCAAGUGCCACCCUGUGGGAAGUUUGGGCAGCACGAAGGCCGCCAGCAUUCUGCAGGAAGUUUGGAGAGCACAGGGUUGCCUGCAGAAGGCCGUAAGAAGAUGGAUUUCAGCAGGCAGCUGA